Long non-coding RNA from Canis lupus familiaris (dog), 436 nucleotides. RefSeq lists it as uncharacterized. The transcript is spliced from 3 exons. Lineage: Eukaryota; Metazoa; Chordata; Mammalia; Carnivora; Canidae. The record is from RefSeq and is a predicted model, not a curated record.
CUUGUCCCCAUUCCUGCACCAUUGAGCCACUCCUUCUAGGAUGAGGAGGACAAUCCUGAAGAUGGUCCUGGAGCUGCAGAUUUCACUCAGGAACCAUGGCAAGCCCAUUGCCUCCCCGAGAAUGAGCUGCUUCCACUCGGCCAGGGAGACCCAGCUUCCUCAACUCACAAAUCGAAUGCAGGGCUAGGUCAGAAAUUUUCACCAUCCCUCAUAAAAGACACAGAGGGGCCCAUCGGGUCCUCCUCCUGAGAGAAAGAUGUCACUCUGAGAGAGAGAGAUGAUGUCACUCUGAUGUGCAGCCCUGGCAUUUGAAAUCUCCUGAUCUCAAUUAAGAGGGUUUCAUUUGCAAAUGAAGGAAAACCUAACCACAAUAUUUUGAACAAGUAGUGGUUUCUUUCUCUCCCCUAAGAAAGCACUAGAGAGGGCACUUGAUGGG